AGUCCGGGUCCGGAGAAAGGCUCUGUUUAAAACGGCCGAGGGUCGGCGGCGGUUUUGUUACUUCGGGAUCGGGAAUGAUCACUCGGAUCCUUGCGCCGUGCGUGUGCUGUGGCUGUACGGGGGGUUGGAGUUCUCGGUGGAAUUAUUCUUCAGGCAGUGCCACGGGCUCCUGCGGUCUUGGAAGGUCUAUGAUAGGCUGCUGGAUGGCCAGCUGGGGUCCUCGCCUGCAUUGUUUUUCAGGCAGCCCCACAGACAGCAGGGCUGGAGGAGGUGCCGGGAGGGCGCGCUAUGGUCGCGCCAGGGCCUGGGCGGGGGGCGGCGGCGAUGAUGGGGGCGGGGCUCAGAGGUGGCGGCAGGGGCCGGCUGGCUGCCCGGCUGCCCGCCCCUAAUGGGCAAAGAGGCGAUUCGUAGGGAGAAGGCUUGGGGGAAGACGGGUGGGGGCUGCGCCCUGGGGGCGCUCAAUGGCGGGCAGCCCCUUCACAGGCUCUCCUGCCCCUAGGAGAAGCUGGCACUUUCUACAUGGACUGGCUCAGGCAAAAGCAUUUGAGGAGUCCUAGAGCUAUGACUUCUUCACCCAGGAUUCUGCCCAGAUUGAAACAUCUUAUCUGGAAAACUAAUGGAAGAUAAUACAUGUUUAAAGUAUCUUCAUUUCCACCACUUUGCUUCUGUACCUAAACUUACCACCUGCUUUGUCUAGUCAAACUUUAAAGAUCUUAUUUCCAUCUCUUCACAACUUUGGGAGGGUGUUGCAUAUGUCAUUUUAUUGCUGUUGGCUUCAUGAAUCUGCAUAUGGUUCAGUGCUCGGAGCUUUUUUCAAACAGCAGCCAUCUGGAAUAAGAGCAGAACUUUUGUAGUUUUUACUGUUGCUAUUCAGAAUCCUAUCCCAUAUGUAGUAGUGGAACUGACAAGAACUAUAUCACUUUAACCCUGCUACUUGGAAAAAUCCUGAGAGGCAGCAAAAGAAACUACUUGAGAGGGAAAUUCAGAGUAUGAAGGAAGGUGGAGGAUAGACUAGUAGAAUAACUUUAAGGUUAGGGGCUGGUAGACAGAAUGCUCCUUCUUUUGCAGGGGGAAUGUCUGGGGAGGGGGCUUCAAAGCUGUCAGACACGUACUAGCAAGAGGCUGACAUAAAAGAUGGAGCCCUUGAGUAGGUUAAAGGGACAACACCAUGGUAGGAACAUGGUAACACAGUUUCCUUUUCCAGCAAGUUGGGAAGGGCAGUUGGCUUUUCACUAGAUCAUUUAAGUUGGGCAGUGAGCUUCCUCCUGUCCUUUUAUUUUGGACUCUGUCUAGUGAGUUUAAUCUUUUGACUAGCUGGUAAAUUUUUCAAACCCUGCUUUAAAACGUCAUCCCAUUGCUUAACAUCACUGACUCAGUAUUCACUGUAUUCUCACUUUUCUGAUGGGGAAACUGAGGCAGAAUGUCACGAAUUGUGAUAUCACACAGUGCUUGCUGGAACUUGUGUUGAUUUGUGACUGUUAAAACUGUACAAUGAUAUCUUGCCUUUGCACAAUAUAGAUAAUGCUACUGAAAUUUCAUUUUAAAGGAUACUGUUAGCUGGGGUGUUUAAAAAAACACUUUUUAAAAUUUCCAUUGUAUAUAGUUGCAUCUUAAAGGCUUGAAAAUACUACUUUCCCUGUCAUUUAGCAAAGGUUUUGGGGGUUUUUGUCCCAUUUCUCAAUUUAACUGUAUUUUGUUUUUAGUUCCAAACUACUAGCAGGCGGGGAGUGAAGGCACUUCUGAUUGUCAAUGAACAGUUAAGACUUCAAAUUUGUCUGUCCGACAAAACAUGGUUGUCCUGGUUUUCAAGCUUUGGUCUAUUUCUUUCGGGGUGCAGCAUGCACAGCUGUCAGAUACUUCCUGGAGCUGUGAGAGGGGAGGGGCGCAUGCCUACGGAGCAGCAGAGAUCAAAACAAUGAGCCGAGCGGUCGUGGCAGGCACUGAGGGAUACUUGUGGAAGCCAGUUAUGUCAAUAAAACAAACAGCAGUGUCUACACUGAUGCUUUGUUGCUUUAAUUUUGCCGCAAAAAGCUUUAUGCCUCUUGUUGAGGUGGUCUUAUUUUGUCUGUAAAACAGCAGAGUUUUGCUGCUAAAAGUAGCUUUGUAGUGUGUACACCUCCCCUGUUUUGUCGGCAAAAGCCAGCUUUUGCCAACAAAACUUUGUAGUGUACACAAGGCCUAACCUAAUGUGAUGGGGGAUACAGCCUAGUCUAUCUGCUCAUAUCUCUGUACUUCAAGGGCUCCUCCUGCCCCAGUUCCCCUAACUGGGCCACCUAGGUGCAAAAUGGAGUUGAGGCAGAAGUGUUGUGGGGAGCCUUUCAACUACUGAUGCUAAGCCAGAUUCCAGUCUGAUUCACAGGCCCCUCUUAUACAGAGAAACAUCGGUAGUCUCCACUUCUUUGCUGUGAAAGUCUCAGUCAGUUACCUUGCUGCCCAGUCUACCACUGAGCAUUGAUAGAAAAUCAAAAUUUAAAAAGUAGUGAUGUUUGUGUCCUUACUAUUAGGACAGUCAUAUUCCAGAGUUUCAUGUUUUGGUUUGCUUGCCAAAAUAUCAGCAUGUGAAUACAUAUGAACUGCCAGAAAGUUGAACUACAAGCUUAAAGAAAUUAUUUUAACCAAAAACCACAGUCAACGUUGUGUGGGAAAUGUUGGGACUAACUUUUGAGGUUCUUGGCUGUUCUGCUUCACUUAGUCCAUUGACAAUAGGAAAUGCCAUAUUAGAGACAAGCAUUGUCUAUGUGCCCCUACCACACCUUGCUUAAUUGACAUUAAACAGUUUUGCUGUGUGGACUUUUAUUUUAAUUAUUGCUAUGUGCUUUCCAAACUGAGGAGGAGCUGAACAGCCCCUACCCUGAAAAGCAUACACCCUAAAAACAUAAAAGCAGUGAGGGAUACAACAUAUGAGCAAAGUAUUCAUAUGAUAAGUCCACUGCUUAUUAAAAAUCCUGAACAAACUUUUAACUGAAAUUAAACAUGGUAGGUUCCUCCCACCCAUCACUCCAUGUAUGUCUGAGUUGCUCACUUUAGAUAAAUAUAUAGGAAUUAGUCAGCUAGGUUCUUGUAUGUGUCUCAGAAGAAGUAGAUCUUUAAGAGGGAUUUAAAGGAGAAGAGGGUUGCAGCACGGGUACAAAGAAUCUGUUAGGGGCCUGACGGCAAGUGAUGUUGAACAUGCUUUUUGUAAUGCUGUAAAUUACAUUUUGGACCUAUCUAUGCUAGUAGCCAAACAGUUUUCAGCACAUGGUAUUUCAGCACAUGGUGGGCUGGUCCUGUUAGUGGUCAUUACAGCAGUGAGUCACUUUCUCAUUAUUUAGAAGGACCCUUAGUGCAUGGAAGAUUUGACAGAGACCCAGAAAUUAUGCCUCACAUUUGUCAGCUUGAUAAAGUUUUGUGGACUGUGACAUUUUAUGAAGAAAUGGGAGAGCAUUACGACCCCUCCCUCUCAUAGAUUAACUUUAAAAUACCAACUGAUCCCUGGGUACAUUCUGUUCAAGCUGGUCUUCCCCCAUGUGACUCGGUAUUGAGCAAAACUACCUCCUAAAAUCAGUUUGUCCUUAACUGUCCAGUAUUGGAGCUAUAUGGUUCAUCCUUCAAAUCUUUACUCUUGACUACCCCUUCACAAAUGUACAUCGUAAGAAUAAGGGACUAUGACUUUCAAUAUAGGGAGCAAAGUUGACAAAGCCAAAAGGCUCAGCUUGUGACCAGCUACCACUAAAAUCAAUUACCUUGUCACUCUUGACGAUCGGAACUCUACUUAGCAAGUACACGGAGGAUAAGAGUAGCCAUGUUCAAAUUUGGGGAAUGAUAUCUAUGGUGUUCUCAGUGAAGGGGCCCUGGCUGUGAACUAACGUGCACCAGAAAUUAGGUUGAGCUUGUGUCCUGAGACAGCUGAGGCAUAUUGCUAGACUUGUUUUUUCUGCAGGCCCUGCUAUUAUUAAGGAGCCUUAGGCCUUGUCUACAUUACACAGUUUUGUCAACAAAAGUCAGCUUUCAUCGACAAAACAGUGGAGGUGUACACACUGCAAUGCUCCUUCUGGCAAGAAAACUCUUCUGCUUUGCCAACAAAAUAAAACCACUUCGCUGAGAAGCAUAGAGCUUUUUGCAGCAAAGUUAUAUCAACUAAGUGUCAGUGUAGACACCGCCUUUGGUUAUGUUGCUCUAAUUGGCCUCCAUGAGGUGUACCACAAUGCCCAUCGUGACAACUGGUCAGCAGUUCGAACUUUGCUGCACUGCACCUAGGUACAAAGGUAUCCACCCUUCCCCCUUUUAAGGCCCAAUACUUUUUGAAAUUCCACUUCCUGUUUGCUCCCUGUGGACAGCUGAAUGCAUCUUCCCAGCUGACCAUGGGGGCUCCAUGCAGCAAAUGCUCUCCCACUUGGAGCACACCUGAAUUGUUGGAUCUGCUGGCACUGUGGGGAGAGAUGCCUGUGCAGUCGCAGUCCCAGCUACGCUUUAGCUGUAGGAACUUCAAUACUUACGGUCAGAUUUCGUGUGGCUUGUUGGACAAGAGUUAUGAAUGGGACACAUAUCAGUGCUGUGGUUUUGUGAUGCUUUUCUUUUCAUACAAACCUUAAAUCGGGGGCCUAAGCUGCCUGACCAACUGAUCUAACUCUGCAUGGCUUUUCUAUAGUUAAGUGUGCAAAGAUUACAUUUUUAUUGGUAAAUGUCAAUUUCACCAUCCACACACAAAAAUGACAAAAUUGGUAAUUGAAAUGUAACAAAUAGGCAAUGUAAGAAAAAUGCUGCUUGCGAACUUACUAGAGUUUGAUUUAAGGAUAUCUACUUUGUAUAUUUUGGCAUGUGAUGUUGACAAUUUGUGUUUUAAUGGUUAUAAAGCUUUUACUUUUUGAAUCUCAAUGCCUACAAUCAUUAAAUAAUUACUAUCUGAUGCCUCCCCCGCCCCCAAUUUCCUGCAAUUUUGAACAUUUCAGUUAAUAAAAAAAGUCUUAAACAUUAAAAUGUC
Non-coding RNA from Caretta caretta (loggerhead turtle), 4960 nucleotides. NCBI's taxonomy places the organism in Eukaryota, Metazoa, Chordata, Testudines, Cheloniidae. The record is from RefSeq and is a predicted model, not a curated record.